AAAUAUCUAUCAAAGUUAUUAGUACUGUUAUGUGUCUAGUUAAUGAAUGUGAUGACGGGAUUAAAAUUAUGCUCUGAAAGGGUAAAAUAAUCCUUUCCUUCUUGGACUGCCAUUCUCAGUAUGCACUGUCAGCUUUAGAUAAUCACUUCACAUAAAGAAGCUAGAGACUUUACAUCAUGUGUCAGUUCUUAUGUUUUGUACACUUUUGUGCUGAAUAAUUAGGCUAUUUUAUCAGAUAAAAUAAUUUUGUAUUGUUUAUUGGUUUCAUAGAUUCACACUAUUAUUAUUUUUUUAAAUCCCAGCUCAAAUUCUAAAGAACUCUUUGAAAGAAAAAAAGAUGAUAUUCCUAUUGUACAUAUAGUAUUCACACAUAAAACCAGAGAAAUUCCAAUCCUAAUCCUUUUUUCCAUAUAAACUCAUACUUCUUUUCCAUAAUAUUUACUCGAUUAAAAAUGAUAUGUGGGUUUGUAUUAUAAAAACUCAGUUUGAUUAUAUGCUGGGUAAAAAUUACUAAUCUUGGGUUUUAGCUUUAUAUCCAGAUAUUUAGAUCAUGUUGAUACAGACUAUCAUAAAAAUGUUAUAUGUAUUUAAAACACUAUUCUAAAAUUUAUAUUUUAUACUAAUUUUGAAAUUCUAAAAGUGGAUUACAUUAUACAGGUACAUCUACAACU
RNAcentral lists this long non-coding RNA (671 nucleotides) under Bos taurus (domestic cattle). Its description in RNAcentral is "long non-coding RNA NONBTAT000253". Lineage: Eukaryota; Metazoa; Chordata; Mammalia; Artiodactyla; Bovidae. The record is from RNAcentral.